AGCGAACAUUGGCGGUAGGCUUAACACAUGCAAGUCGAGCGAGGCGUAAUAGUCGAGCGGCGAACGGGUGAGUAAUACAUGGGAAUCUACCUCGAAGGGGGGGAUAACAGCCAGAAAUGGCUGCUAAUACCGCAUAAUCCGGGAACGGGAAAGCGCGCUGCGCUUUGAGAUGAGCCCAUGGCUGAUUAGCUAGUUGGUGGGGUAAAGGCCUACCAAGGCGACGAUCAGUAGCUGGUCUGAGAGGAUGAUCAGCCACACUGGAACUGAGACACGGUCCAGACUCCUACGGGAGGCAGCAGUGGGGAAUCUUGCGCAAUGGGGGCAACCCUGACGCAGCCAUACCGCGUGUGCGAUGAAGGUCUUCGGAUUGUAAAGCACUUUCAGUAGGGACGACGAUGACGGUACCUACAGAAGAAGUCACGGCUAACUUCGUGCCAGCCGCCGCAGUAA
Molecule: ribosomal RNA, 450 nt
Filed under: uncultured bacterium
Lineage: Bacteria
Description: partial 16S ribosomal RNA
Rfam family: Bacterial small subunit ribosomal RNA
Source: RNAcentral